UUAACAGGUGAAGUCUUUGAGGUGAGGAGCCUCCGAGCAAGGUUUCUGAGAUUUGUGGGAUUCAAGUCUCAGGUGGUAAAGGUUUGUUAGGUACCUGUAAACUUAGCAUCGAAGUCUUUGAGGUGAGGAACCUCCGAGCAAGUGUUUGAGACUUGUGUGAUUCAAGUCUCAAGUGUAAAGGUUUGUUGAGCACCCGUAAGCUCGACAGGN
This 210-nucleotide long non-coding RNA is filed under the name Nicotiana benthamiana. Its description in RNAcentral is "long non-coding RNA (NBEN_LNC038686)". Lineage: Eukaryota; Viridiplantae; Streptophyta; Magnoliopsida; Solanales; Solanaceae. The record is from RNAcentral.